RNAcentral lists this ribosomal RNA (553 nucleotides) under uncultured bacterium. Its description in RNAcentral is "bacterial SSU rRNA". It matches the Rfam family "Bacterial small subunit ribosomal RNA", at positions 839 to 1391 of the family's 1533-position model. The record is from RNAcentral.
UUCUGUNCCGGAGUUAACGCAAUAAGUACCCCGCCUGGGGAGUACGACCGCAAGGUUGAAACUCAAAGGAAUUGACGGGGGCCCGCACAAGCGGUGGAGUAUGUGGUUUAAUUCGACGCAACGCGAAGAACCUUACCAGGUCUUGACAUUGAUGGACAGAACCAGAGAUGGUUCCUCUUCUUCGGAAGCCAGAAAACAGGUGGUGCACGGUUGUCGUCAGCUCGUGUCGUGAGAUGUUGGGUUAAGUCCCGCAACGAGCGCAACCCCUAUCUUAUGUUGCCAGCACUUUGGGUGGGGACUCAUGAGAGACUGCCGCAGACAAUGCGGAGGAAGGCGGGGAUGACGUCAAAUCAUCAUGCCCCUUAUGACCUGGGCUACACACGUACUACAAUGGGAGUUAAUAGACGGAAGCGAGAUCGCGAGAUGGAGCAAACCCGAGAAACACUCUCUCAGUUCGGAUCGUAGGCUGCAACUCGCCUACGUGAAGUCGGAAUCGCUAGUAAUCGCAGGUCAGCAUACUGCGGUGAAUACGUUCCCGGGCCUUGUACACACC